CGGCGUGCCAGGGGGAGCUUUUGGCUGAGAGUGGAUUCGUUCCAGACCCUUAGAACCUGUUGGUUAAUUCCAGCGCAGGGAUGGUUAUUUGAGGUGUG
RNAcentral lists this non-coding RNA (98 nucleotides) under Bacillus sp. (in: firmicutes). Its description in RNAcentral is "Bacillus sp. TPP sequence". It matches the Rfam family "TPP riboswitch aptamer (THI element)". Rfam says of the family: Vitamin B(1) in its active form thiamin pyrophosphate (TPP) is an essential coenzyme that is synthesised by coupling of pyrimidine and thiazole moieties in bacteria. The previously detected thiamin-regulatory element, thi box was extended, resulting in a new, highly conserved RNA secondary structure, the THI element, which is widely distributed in eubacteria and also occurs in some archaea. Lineage: Bacteria; Bacillati; Bacillota; Bacilli; Caryophanales; Bacillaceae. The record is from RNAcentral.